CCGCGGGAUUAGAGUUUGAUCCUGGCUCAGAGCGAACGCUGGCGGCGUGCUUAACACAUGCAAGUCGAACGCGCAGCAUUCUGUAGCAAUACAGGAUGUGGGCGCGUGGCGAACGGGUGCGUAACACGUGGAUAACCUUCCUUCAGGUGGGGAAUAACCCAGCGAAAGUUGGGCUAAUACCGCAUAACAUGACGAUGCCACAUGGUGUUGUCUUCAAAGGCGCAAGUCGCCAGAAGAGGGAUCCGCGGCCGAUUAGCUUGUUGGCGAGGUAAUGGCUCACCAAGGCAUUGAUCGGUAGCCGGACUGAGAGGUUGGCCGGCCACACUGGAACUGAGACACGGUCCAGACUCCUACGGGAGGCAGCAGUGGGGAAUCUUGCACAAUGGACGAAAGUCUGAUGCAGCAACGCCGCGUGGGGGAUGAAGCUUCUCGGAGUGUAAACCCCUUUCGACCCGGACGAAUGCCCGCAAGGGUUUGACGGUACGGGUAUAAGAAGCCCCGGCUAACUACGUGCCAGCAGCCGCGGUAAUACGUAGGGGGCCAGCGUUGCUCGGAAUUACUGGGCGUAAAGGGUCCGUAGGCGGUGCGGCAAGUCGAUAGUGAAAUCCCUGGGCUUAACCCAGGGGCUGCUAACGAAACUGCCGUGCUCGAGUGUGAGAGAGGCGAGUGGAAUUGCGGGUGUAGCGGUGAAAUGCGUAGAUAUCCGCAGGAACAUCCGAGGCGAAGGCGGCUCGCUGGAUCACAACUGACGCUGAGGGACGAAAGCUAGGGGAGCAAACAGGAUUAGAUACCCUGGUAGUCCUAGCCCUAAACCAUCAUGACUUGGGGUUUGCCCUGUA
RNAcentral lists this ribosomal RNA (839 nucleotides) under uncultured bacterium. Its description in RNAcentral is "bacterial SSU rRNA". It matches the Rfam family "Bacterial small subunit ribosomal RNA", at positions 1 to 833 of the family's 1533-position model. The record is from RNAcentral.